This 65-nucleotide transfer RNA is filed under the name Echinostoma caproni. It matches the Rfam family "tRNA". Rfam says of the family: Transfer RNA (tRNA) molecules are approximately 80 nucleotides in length. Their secondary structure includes four short double-helical elements and three loops (D, anti-codon, and T loops). The record is from Rfam by way of RNAcentral. Lineage: Eukaryota; Metazoa; Platyhelminthes; Trematoda; Plagiorchiida; Echinostomatidae.
GGCCUCGUGGCUCAGCUAGUAGAGCGUGCGCGUAGAAAGCGUGGGUUCGAACCCCAUCGAGGUUA